This 5499-nucleotide long non-coding RNA is filed under the name Citrus maxima (pomelo). RNAcentral describes it as "long non-coding RNA (CMAX_LNC000886)". Lineage: Eukaryota; Viridiplantae; Streptophyta; Magnoliopsida; Sapindales; Rutaceae. The record is from RNAcentral.
AGCAAAAUAUGUAUGGGGUCUCGAAAAAAAUCUUCGGGUCUUGGAGACUGAAUUGCACAAAUUGACUCGAGCAAGGGCCGAUCUGAAGACCAAGGUUGAGGUCGAAGAACAACGACCUCGAACCAGACGAACGAACCAGGUCGCAGGGUGGCUUGAAGAUGUGCAAAAACUGGAAACUGAAUUUACCGAGCUGGAACGAGUUAGAGCUCAUGAAAUGGAUAGAUUGUGCCUUGGAGGCCUCUGUUCCAAAAACUUCGUUUCAAGCUACAAUUACGGGACUCAGGUGGUCGAGUUGACGGAUCGAGUGAUCAAUUUAAAGAAAGACGGAGAAAAAAUUGAAGUCGUUGUUGAGAAGGCGCCGGAUGGUGCAGCAAUUGAAUUACCUCUUGAUCACACAGUUGUUGGUCAAGAACUAUUACUUGAUCAAGUUUGGAGAUGUAUCACUGAUCAGGAAAAUAACAGGGGAAUUAUCGGCUUGUAUGGUAUCGGGGGAGCCGGCAAAACUACCCUUUUAAAACAAGUCAACAACAACUUCUGCCAUCAACAGCAUAAUUUUGAUGUUGUUAUCUGGGCGGCUGCGUCAACACUUCAAGAUGACAUUGGAAAAAGGAUUGGCUUUUCAGAAGACAGAAACUGGAAGGAAAAAAGUUUAUAAUUAACGAAAGGGCCUUUUUCUUUUUUUAAAUCCCGCUAAAGGUUAUAAUUAACAACAAAUUAAUAAUAGAAGAGAGAGAAAUACCAAGUUCAAUAUGGUAAUAUUUUAUCUUCCCUUAACUGCUCCCCUUUGGCUUAUAAUGCGACCUUUAUACUCGUUGACAAAAUUGUAUUUGUCGCUUAAGUCUUGUUUGUUUUAAAAUGCUGGCAUAUUUAUGGAGUGGGAACUAGGGAUGGCAAUGGAGUGGAUUUGAUCCAAGAUCCAUGUGAUCCAAAUCCAAUCGGAUCGGAUUUGGAUCGGUUUAAAAUGGAUUUGGAUAUCGAUGUGCGGAUCUAAGACAGAUAUGGAGCAGAUAUGGAUCUAUCUUAAUAUCUAAAUCCAUAUCCAUAUCCACUCAUCUUUUAAUUUUAUUUUAUUUUAAAAGUUUAUUAAUAAUUGUGGAAUGAUAAUGAUAAUAAAUUUUAUUCAUAGCAUAUUAGUAAUAUUUACCAUGAAUUUAAACUCUUAAAACUUAAAGGUUAGUUUUGUAAAUUUAAAGGUCAGCCAGCCUCAAAACAUGUACAUGCAAUAUUCAAAUUGCAAUCCAAGUAAUAUAACCUGGUAAUAUAUUUUAUCAUAUUGGCCAAAUAAUUUUUAAGGAAUAUAGUUAUUCAUAUAUUUAGUCAAAUGUGGUCAUAAUAAAAAUAAUAAAUGACUGAAUAUAAAACAUAUUUAAUUUAUAUAUCAUUAUCUAAUGUUGUAGGAAUGAGGGUAGGUGUAUCGUGAAUACUAGAAUGAUGAAGGAGACAAUAGAAUAUUAGAUUGAUCUUACUCCUGCAAUUACUUCUGAAUGAUAUUUUAUUAUCUUUCUUAUUUGUUGUUUUGGUAUAGAAGUAUAAGCUACAAUAUUUAUUAUAUUUUUGAGAAAAAUUAUAUAAUUUAUUUGUUAUCAAUACAUUUUAGCCUUCAAUUUUCAAUCUAAAAAAUUAUUACUUUUUUAUUACGGAAUUUUAGAAUUCAUGACGGAUCUAGAGCAGAUUUGGAUUUUAAUUUUUUUUCGGAUUUGGAGCAGAUAUAGAUAUUUAUUUCUUUUUUGGAUCUGGAUAUGGAGCGAAAAAUAUGGAUUCAUAACAGAUCUGGAGCAGAUACUGAUCUUGAUUUUUAUUAUGGAUUUGGAUCUGGAGCAGAGUAGAUCCAACCCAUAUCUGCCCCAUUGCCAUCCCUAGUGGGAACCCAGAUGCUGAACUCAUAGUAAAUAUUUAUUUAAUUUGUUAUAAUUACAUUUGGUGGGAUAAUUUUAAAUAUUAAUUUAACAAGAUAGUGAUGUUUGCCUUGCCCUACAUGAAGAAAAAUAAGUAAUUAAAGAUUUUUCUUUUCCUUUAUAUUAGUAAUAGAUUUCAAAUGGAAAACAGACAAAUUUCAUUUUUGUUUCAAUAAUUACCCUAUCACUGUGUGCGUGCGUGAUCACAUAAUUUUGUACUACCGUCUGUGGAAUAACUUUAGGAAAAGAAAAUUAAUUUUUUUUAAGUAAUGAUAAAUAUUUUAAAAUUUUAUCUUAAAUUGUUUUCUUCUCUUAUCAAUUUUUUUUUUCUCCUAUCUUCCAAUGAAAGUGCAGGACCUCAAUUAUUUUAAUAGAGAUGUAGUAAUAAAUUAUUAAUGAAACAUGUCAAAUCCAAUGUAUAGAUAAUAAUAAAAUGAGGCUAAUGCUAAGUUACAUACAUGUAACUUAGGGGAUCCAUAAAAUAAAUAUACAUGGUUUCAAAAAAGUUAGCACAUGCUUGUUACAAAUAUAAAACAUUAUCUUAAAAGUCUCUGAACUUUUGUGUUCUCUUUAACAUUUUUCUCUUAUGUUGUUUUUGUACUAUAUGGAUACAAGAGUGCGUUUGGCACGCUGUAUUAUAUUAUGUUGUAUUGCAUUAUUUUAAUGCAGGUGUAUUGCAUUAUGUUGUGUUGCAUUAGUAAUGUAUUAUAAUAAUGUUGUACAAUGUUUGGUACUAUAUUGUACUGUAUUAAUUUUUAAUUAUAUUAUAUUUGAUAUUGCACUAUAUUGUAUUAAUUUUUUGUGACUAAUUUAAAUUAUAUAUUUAGAAAAUACUAAUGAAUUGUGCUAAACAAUCUAAUAAUUAUAUAUUUUAUUAAUUUUUAAUUAAUAUUAUUCAAAUUUAUUCAUAUUUAAAUAUUAUUAUUAGUUAUAUUAAAUUAUUUAAAAAUAACUAGUUUAAUUAUUUUAAUAAAUUAAAUAAUAUUAUAUUAUAUUAUAUUAUUUAAGUAUUUAUUAUUAGUUAUAUUAACUUAUUAAAAAUUAAUUAAUUAAAUAUAUUAAUUGAUAUAAUUUUACAUAUUAAUUAAUAUAAUAUAAUUAAAUAAUACAUUUUUUAGUUGUACAUUUACUAUGAUAAAAAUUAAAAUAUAAUAUAAUAUUAUUAAACAAUAAAUUUAUUAAUUUAUAUUAAAAUUAUAAUGUAAAAAUAAUAUUAUAUAAUAUAAUAUUAAAUUAAAAAUUAUAUUCAUUUAUCAUUAUUACAAAGUAUAUAAAAAAAAAAAAAAAAGAGGAAGCUAAAACUAAAGUGGUAACUGGACGCAUUAGCUAAACCCGACUAUAUGUCGGGUUUAGCUAAUAUAGCCAUUUGGUACCCCAAACAUGGGGCUGCAUUGCUAAUGUAAUGCAAUCCCAGGUAAAGAGGGGUACCAAACAACCCCCAAGUUCACUUAAUGUAACAUAACAUACUUUUAUAUAUAUAUGUAUAUAUAUAUAUAUAUAUAUACACACUACGUGGAGGUGAGCUCCUUAAGGUGAGAUUUAUCAAAAUUAUAAAUUAUUACAACAUGAAAUUUAUUCUUAUUUAUAAUUGACCUAAUAUAAAUUAAGAUCGUUACUUUUAUAGCUACAUGAAAUUAUUCUUAUAUAAAAUAUCACUACAUAAAUGUUUUAUUGCAAUAUUGAUCUCUCUUUUUUCUUUAUUGUAUUUAUCUCUUCAUAAUCUUUUCCUUUUUAUUAAAAAAAAAUCAAAUAAAAGAUUCAUCAACAUCUCAGUCCAACAGUCUACCAGCGAAAACGAGUGUCCAUGCUUUUGAACCAAGGCCCAAUAUGUGAGGGAGAGAUUGUUGGGUUGUCUUAUAUCGGUUGUGAACUAGGAUGGGAUUGAAUGAGACCCAAAACUGCCUAACAUGAAUUCUAUCACUGGGAUUUUUACCCAGUAUAACAAACAUAACACAACGAAUUAUCAAUUUAUCACCUAAUGGCUCUAACUUUAGCGAUGAUCACCUUACAUGAACAUGAAAAUUAAUCCCAUUGUUUAACUCAACACUGACGAUAAUCACUUAAACUCUUAUGCACCGAAGGAUAUACUCGCUACAGGGAAUCUUAACUCAUAAAGAUGCUCCCACAUCUUCCAUUAAGUUUCCAUCGAACAACUAUUCAUAUCAUUCGAUGAAAAAUUAAUUUUAGUGAGGGCCAAAAGAGCACGAGUGAUCCAAACCACUAAACAACAUCAUAACCAACACAAAAUUCAUACUAAACAAACCAUUACCAAAACAGCAAAGCUAGACAUAAAUUUGAACAGAUACACAAGCUACAUUCAUUACCAUAAUGUAUCGACUAAAUUUCCAAGCUCUCCUGUGCUGCUUGUCUAACUGAUUCAAAUCCACAUAGAUAAAUUUAAGCACAUUAAGUUUUCAAACUCAAAUCAAACAGCUUUAAAAGUUACUUCACAAACAAUGAAUUUCAUUUUCGAAAUACAAAGAAUCCGUUCAGUUUAAAACAAUAAAAAAUCGUCUACGACUACUCAACUCAUGUAUUAUAACUAAAAAAACGAAGGAUACCCACAAAAAUUAAAGAUAAAUUACCAAAAACCCAAAAAACUCAAGCCAAAAUUGCCAAAAAAAAAAAAGCGAGAGAAUGGAAAUUGGGGUACCAGGGGCGGGCGAGAGGAAACGAGAAGAGGAAGAAAGAGGGGUUUUAGAGAGAGUGGGAAUUAGUGGAGGCAAAAAUGGAGAGUUUUGCCUCCACUAAUGAUUGGUGGGGUGGUGAUGGCGGUGGUGGGGUUAAUGUUCUGGAGGGUAUGCUGAAGAGAGGUCGCAAGAGAACCUCCAUAGCCUUUAAAGAGAGUUGAGUUGCUGCUUUCUUUUGCCGUGGAUGGAGAGAGAUUAAGGGAUUAGAAUUCUGUAUGGAAUUUACUUUUUAUUAAAUAAAAAAUUAAUGUUAAAAUCAUUUUAUUUUAUUUUUUUAUCUAGUUAUCAUUGACUUAAUAUUUUGGAUCUUCAUCCAAAGUAAAGGCACAAAAUUUUUAUUCUAAAUAAAUAUUCUCAAUAUAAAUUUAUCACUUAAAUAAUAAAUGAUAAGAUUUUAUAUUAAUUCUGUCAUUACUGAAAUGAAUUACAAAUUUUAUAUGACGUGUAAACGUAUCAUUAUAUUCUUGAUAUUUGACAUCUUGACUAAAGCAACAAAUGUAUCAUAUUUUUAUUUUGGUAUUGUGGUUCUCUAAAAAUACCCUCACCAAAUUAGCUUAAUUCUUUUCAUUGUACCCAUUGCUUCUCUUCCUCUUUUCGUCAACGACAAUGGGUAACUUAAUCUCAACCUUCUUACCAGCAGACUUAUUUGAUCGAACUUCAAACUGCGUUGGUGAACAAGCAAAAUAUGUAUGGGGUCUCGAAAAAAAUCUUCGGGUCUUGGAGACUGAAUUGCACAAAUUGACUCGAGCAAGGGCCGAUCUGAAGACCAAGGUUGAGGUCGAAGAACAACGACCUCGAACCAGACGAACGAACCAGGUCGCAGGGUGGCUUGAAGAUGUGCAAAAUCUGGAAACUGAAUUUACCGAGCUGGAACGAGUUAGAGCUCAUGAAAUGGAUAGAUUGUGCCUUGGAGG